Molecule: RNA transcript, 833 nt
Organism: Antechinus flavipes (yellow-footed antechinus)
Lineage: Eukaryota; Metazoa; Chordata; Mammalia; Dasyuromorphia; Dasyuridae
Gene name: DPY30 domain-containing protein 1-like
Exons: 8
Source: RefSeq, a predicted model, not a curated record
ACUUACUUAUCUACCACACUUGGACACAGUUGACUCCCUUUCUUGUGGAGAAUUUUUGUUCACUUGGCAUUGGGGACAGCAUUCUUUUUGUUCUGUUCCCACCUGUCAAACAAUCCAUCAAUCAUCUUGAACUCUUCCCGGAUCCUCUCCUUAAGUAGUUUUCAUUGGAUACAAAUGGAGUCGAGAUACCUUCGAAGGUUUCUUGGUCAGUGCCUUAGUCAGGCUCUUGCAGAUGUGGCCAAAUUUAAGCCAGUAGAUCCAAUAGAAUACUUGGCAUUCUGGCUUUACAAAUACAAGAAAAACAUGGCAACACAACAAUUGAGGCAAAUGGAACUGGCUCAGUUGCAGCAAGAGCAAGAAGCGGCUAGGAUGGAGCAGGAAAUGUUGAAACAACUGAAAGAAGAGGAGCUGUUCUUUCAGCAGCAACAACUGGAGUUGGAAAUGCAAGAAAAAGAGAGGGAGAGACUUGAAGAGUUAGAGAAGCAACGAAUUGAAGCAGAAUUAGAAGACAUGAAAAGAAUGCUCUUAGAAGAGCAAGAGAAGCUUUUUUUAAAAUAUUGUAAUAUUGUAAUUGGAGUCCCAGGAGGAGCAAAUUGGGGAAGAAGAAGACACUAUAUCAGGAACUCCAGUGGAAGGGGAUGCCUUAAACAAGACAUUAGCUGAAAUUAGCGAUAGGUAUGGAGCACCUAAUUUAAGUCGGGUUGAAGAAGUAGAUGAAUCAAAUGUUUUGGAAGGGGCAUUAGAUGAUGAAAAAGAUGACAUAUAGCAAUGAACAUCAGCCGUACACAGUUUUGCUUGUUACAGUUUUCAAUAAAAAAAAAUCAACUUGUGAA